UUUUUGAGCAGUAUAUAUAUAUAUAUAUAUAUAUAUAUAUAUAUAUAUAUAUAUAUAUAUGGGCAGUGGCUUCUUAACUAUUCUUAGCAUUUUGCAUAAAAAUCUAAUGUCUAAAGUGUUCACACUGGAUUUAGCCAGCGGCUCAAUGAUGUCAUCCUUUUGAGCGACCCUGCUGGUUGGCUACAUAGAGGCUGUGCAGUGUCGUCUGCUGGUUGUGCAGAGCUGUUCUUGUGCAUAGUGUUCAGGCCUUUCAACUAGGGCUUGACUACAUCAUCCCUUGCUCAUCCUAACACCAGUGCAGUAACUUUCAGCAGUACUGAAAGUCUGAUGUUUCAGUAUUUCCCUUCAAAUUAUGUUUCAGUAACUCCGUUCUAAGUGUUAUAGGACACAUAUUUCGCUGCAGUUUGGUUGUUGAUAUAAUACUCAUGCUAUAAGUGGUAUGCUAUAAAUGGUAUGCUAUCCUGAAGUGAACAUUGAAAAUCUUUGUCAAAUGAACCUUCUCCAUUGUUCAACUGUCUGCCGAACUUUCAAUCUUGUCCAAUGAAUGAAAAUUGAAAUUUUUGGUUUCUAUUUUCUUAGGCCUAGAUUUGAUCAGAUCAAGCGUUAACCAGUGAUAGCCGACACUCGCAUAGCUGAUGUUUUGGCGGUGUCGGCAAGUGGAACUGCAUUGGAGCUGUCAAAUCAGUGAACAGCUGCUCUUGUGAUCAUUGUCACAAAGCCACGCCUGUCCCACUCGCGUUAGUUCAGAAGGAGAACGUUUAGCCUACAUAGAAAUAAUGACGCUCAAAUUGAAAAUCAUUAAACAAAAUAAUGAGGGUUUCUAUCAGCCUAAUCGAGGUGUAGAUUACAUCUCACAUUCCAGUCUUGGAACUCUUAAUGUGACUCCCUGCAGCCAAUGGCAAUGUCCGCUUUAUGUAUAAUGCUAGGAGCCACUUAUGCAUUUGACAGCUCUAACGCUGUUCCACCUCCAGCACCGCCAAAAUGACUGCUGUGUGGAUGUCGGCUAAAUGGGAUCUGAUUUAAUAGAGUCCUUUAAUUAUGUUGCACUGUUGUUGAUGAUGGUUUCUGUUGUAUUUCACUUUGCCUCUAAGGGUCAAAACUUUGUAUGAUGUGGUGAAACAUUGAGGGGUGAAUCAUACUUAGCUUAAAGAUGAAUUUUCAUUUAGUUAUGCAUUGAUGUCAGUGGGAGACUAUGUGAAAAUUUGACUAAAGUGAAAAUUAGUGUUCGCUCUUAACACUUCAAUACUUGAAAUUCUAUUCAAAAUUGCUAAAUCCUGUAGCUGCAGACUUGUGAUCUGUGACUGUCAGGAUGUCCAUUGGCUGUUUUAAAAGAGUACAGCAUGUUGACAGUCUGCUAGAAGUAUUACAUCAGUGUUGUAUAUUUUAUUUUCAUUUACUGAGGUGUUUCGAAUUUUACAUUUCCUGUUGGUGCAUUUUAUAUUGUAUAAGAUUAUUUGUUUGAUUAUUGUUAUUAUUUUUGUUUCUAUUUGGUGUUAUUACACCAUUGAUAAUAACAUAAUGAUAAUGAAUUGUCAGUUAAGCAGGUGUUCUUGAAAGUAUACAGAAAUUCUAAGAGUUAUUUUAUUUCUGCUCCUUAAUUUACUUGAAUAUGAUGUUGACAUAGUUGGUUGCGAUAUGCCUGAUUUGAGUAGGGGUAUUCUGACUGUUCCUGUAUUCAGAUGAAGACUGUUUUUCCCUCUUGCACUGGCUCAGCCCAAACGCCUUCUGUCCAGGCUUAUAGCGCUGAUGCAAUGAGAAUGUCAGAAAUGACAACAAAAUGAUUCAAAAUGUUAUAGUUUAAUAAAAAUCUAUGAAUGAAAUAUGUCAAGUGCCUUCUUGUAUGCUGAUAUAAGGGGACUUCCUGUCGCUGAUGCCCGUGGACAGAUGGCACAACCUUUCCUUAUAAGCA
RNAcentral lists this long non-coding RNA (1909 nucleotides) under Salmo salar (Atlantic salmon). RNAcentral describes it as "lncRNA (ENSSSAG00000098095.1)". Lineage: Eukaryota; Metazoa; Chordata; Actinopteri; Salmoniformes; Salmonidae. The record is from RNAcentral.